This 303-nucleotide ribosomal RNA is filed under the name uncultured bacterium. RNAcentral describes it as "partial 16S ribosomal RNA". It matches the Rfam family "Bacterial small subunit ribosomal RNA", at positions 507 to 807 of the family's 1533-position model. The record is from RNAcentral.
AGCAGUAGCCGCGGUAAUACGAAGGGUGCAAGCGUUAAUCGGAAUUACUGGGCGUAAAGCGUGCGUAGGCGGUGAAUUAAGUCUGCUGUGAAAUCCCCGGGCUCAACCCGGGAAUGGCAGUGGAUACUGGCUCGCUAGAGUGUGUCAGAGGAUGGUGGAAUUCCCGGUGUAGCGGUGAAAUGCGUAGAGAUCGGGAGGAACAUCAGUGGCGAAGGCGGCCAUCUGGGACAACACUGACGCUGAGGCACGAAAGCGUGGGGAGCAAACAGGAUUAGAUACCCCCGUAGUCCCUGUCUCUUAUAC